CCCUUAGAUGUUCUGGGCCGCACGCGCGCUACACUGAUGCAUUCAACGAGUCUAAAACCUGCUCUGAUAGGGGUGGGUAAUCUUUUGAAUGUGCAUCGUGAUUGGGAUAGAUGAUUGCAAUUUUUCAUCUUCAACGGGGAAUGCCUAGUAAACACAAGUCAUCAGCUUGCAUUGAUUACGUCCCUGCCCUUUGUACACACCGCCCGUCGCUCCUACCGAUUGAAUGAUCCGAUGAAUAUCAUGGAUUGAGGAUGCAAGUAGGUUAGCCUAUCUUCAUCUUCGAGAAGUGAAGUAAAUCUUAUCAUUUAGAGGAAGGAGAAGUCGUAACA
Molecule: ribosomal RNA, 329 nt
Filed under: uncultured eukaryote
Lineage: Eukaryota
Description: partial 18S ribosomal RNA
Rfam family: Eukaryotic small subunit ribosomal RNA
Source: RNAcentral